Molecule: ribosomal RNA, 331 nt
Filed under: uncultured bacterium
Lineage: Bacteria
Description: bacterial SSU rRNA
Rfam family: Bacterial small subunit ribosomal RNA
Source: RNAcentral
AGAGUUUGAUUAUGGCUCAGGACGAACGCUGGCGGCGUGCCUAACACAUGCAAGUCGAACGGGGUUGUAAGAGCUUGCUUUUGCAACCUAGUGGCGGACGGGUGAGUAACGCGUGAGUAACCUGCCUUACAGAGGGGGAUAACGUCUGGAAACGGACGCUAAUACCGCAUGACAUAUAGUUACCGCAUGGUAAAGAUAUCAAAGGAGCAAUCCGCUGUAAGAUGGACUCGCGUCCGAUUAGCUAGUUGGAGGGGUAACGGCCCACCAAGGCGACGAUCGGUAGCCGGACUGAGAGGUCGAACGGCCACAUUGGGACUGAGACACGGCCCAG